UUGAACGCUGGCGGCAUGCUUUACACAUGCAAGUCGAACGGCAGCACGACGUGUAGCAAUACACGUUGGUGGCGAGUGGCGAACGGGUGAGUAAUACAUCGGAACGUGUCCUGUAGUGGGGGAUAACCAAUCGAAAGAUUGGCUAAUACCGCAUACGAUCUACGGAUGAAAGCGGGGGAUCGCAAGACCUCGCGCUAUAGGAGCGGCCGAUGUCCGAUUAGCUUGUUGGCGGGGUAACGGCCCACCAAGGCGACGAUCGGUAGCUGGUCUGAGAGGAUGAUCAGCCACACUGGAACUGAGACACGGUCCAGACUCCUACGGGAGGCAGCAGUGGGGAAUUUUGGACAAUGGGCGCAAGCCUGAUCCAGCCAUGCCGCGUGAGUGAAGAAGGCCUUCGGGUUGUAAAGCUCUUUCGACGGGGACGAAACGGUCCGUGCCAACACCACGGACUAAUGACGGUACUCGCAGAAGAAGCACCGGCUAACUACGUGCCAGCAGCCGCGGUAAUACGUAGGGUGCAGGCGUUAAUCGGAAUUACUGGGCGUAAAGCGUGCGCAGGCGGCUCCUUAAGUCAGAUGUGAAAGCCCCGGGCUUAACCUGGGAACUGCGUUUGAUACUGGGGGGCUAGAGUGUGGAAGAGGGGGGUGGAAUUCCAGGUGUAGCAGUGAAAUGCGUAGAGAUCUGGAGGAACACCGAUGGCGAAGGCAGCCCCCUGGGCUAACACUGACGCUCAUGCACGAAAGCGUGGGGAGCAAACAGGAUUAGAUACCCUGGUAGUCCACGCCCUAAACGAUGUCAACUGGUUGUCGGGGAAGUAAUUCCUUGGUAACGAAGCUAACGCGUGAAGUUGACCGCCUGGGGAGUACGGCCGCAAGGCUAAAACUCAAAGGAAUUGACGGGGACCCGCACAAGCGGUGGAUUAUGUGGAUUAAUUCGAUGCAACGCGAAAAACCUUACCUACCCUUGACAUGUGCGGAACGGGGUAGAGAUACCUCGGUGCCCGAAAGGGAACCGCAACACAGGUGCUGCAUGGCUGUCGUCAGCUCGUGUCGUGAGAUGUUGGGUUAAGUCCCGCAACGAGCGCAACCCUUGCCAUUAGUUGCUACAUUCAGUUGGGCACUCUAAUGGGACUGCCGGUGACAAACCGGAGGAAGGUGGGGAUGACGUCAAAUCAUCAUGCCCCUUAUGACCUGGACUACACACGUGCUACAAUGGACGGUACAAAGGGCUGCAAGACCGCGAGGUUUAGCCAAUCCCAUAAAACCAUUCUCAGUUCGGAUUGCAGGCUGCAACUCGCCUGCAUGAAGCCGGAAUCGCUAGUAAUCGCGGAUCAGCAUGCCGCGGUGAUACGUUCCCGGGCAUUGUACACACCGC
Molecule: ribosomal RNA, 1374 nt
Filed under: uncultured bacterium
Lineage: Bacteria
Description: bacterial SSU rRNA
Rfam family: Bacterial small subunit ribosomal RNA
Source: RNAcentral